Phyllostomus hastatus (greater spear-nosed bat) is the source of this 1142-nucleotide RNA transcript. It is a transcript of the gene named nudix hydrolase 7, with no coding region annotated. The record is from RefSeq and is a predicted model, not a curated record. NCBI's taxonomy places the organism in Eukaryota, Metazoa, Chordata, Mammalia, Chiroptera, Phyllostomidae. The transcript has 5 exons.
UCUCUCCCCUCCGCCGGCCCACUGCCGCUCUGCGCACGCCCGUCCAGCAGAACACCUCCGAGGAAUCAGCUGCUAGAAACAAACUUUCCCGAACUAUGUCGCGAUCCUGGCCUCCGGAGUCAGUCAGAGACAACUCAAUAGAGGACGCUAAGGCCCGCUUAAAAAAGCAUGAUCCUGGGACCAAGUAUUCUCACUUGUCGUAUAGUAAAUAUUCCAUCCUCUUACCAUUGUUGGUUAAAGAAGGAGAACUUCACCUGUUGUUCACCCUCCGCUCAGAAAAGCUCAGACGGUCACCUGGAGAGGUGUGCUUUCCUGGAGGAAAGCGCGACCCUACCGAUGUGGAUGACGUGGCCACGGCCCUCCGGGAAGCCCAGGAGGAAGUGGGGCUGCACCCUCAGCAGGUGGAGGUCGUCUGCUGCCUGGUGCCGCACGUGUUUGAUACAAACACACUGAUAACACCAGUUGUCGGGUUUAUAGACCCGGACUUCCAGGCGCAGCCUAACCCCGAUGAGGUUAAGAAUGUGUUCCUGGUGCCCCUGGAGUAUUUCCUGCGUCCACGUGCCUACCACCAGAAACACCUGACACGGUGUGGUCAUCGCAUGGUUUUUCAUUGCUUUGAGUACACAAACCCCAAAGACGGUGUGACUUACUAUAUCAAGGGAUUAACUGCAAAAUAUGCUCUCUUCGUUGCCUUAAUUAUUUUGGAAAAACACCCGACCUUUGAGAUGGAAUUUAAUCUCAACGAUCUAAUAUCAUCCUCUGAAAAAUCCUUCCUGCACUUUCAUAACCAUGCAGCAAGCAAAUUAUGAUUUAUGAGACCAACAUCCAAGCAGCUUUUGGGUGUGCUUGUCCGCAGAACAACCGUAACGCCAGCUGGUGGAGUUCGACAGGUGUCAUCACCAAUGUAAGCAACAAGCCAGUUUCCCUGGACGUUUUUCCCCAUUCCAUGAGCUGCAACAUGGAUUUAUCUGUACCCUCGCCUUGACCACACAGAUGAAGAGAACUCCUGGGGGAAUGGCAAGACCAAAAGAUGGUAAGAGCUUGGAUCUCUCAAUGACUCUGGAGCAAAGCAGCCUACCACCCUGGGCUGUUCACUUGAGAGUUGGGAUGACUACACAGGAGGACAAUAAAAUUCUGUUAUC